UACGUAGGGUGCAAGCGUUGUCCGGAAUUACUGGGCGUAAAGAGCGCGUAGGCGGCGCGAUACGACCGAUGUGAAAGCCCCCGGCUCAACUGGGGAGGGUCAUCGGUAACGGUCGUGCUAUGAGUGCAGGAGAGGGAAGUGGAACUCCGGGAGUAGCGGUGAAAUGCGUAGAGAUCCGGAGGAACACCAAAGGCGAAGGCAGUGUCCUGGGGAGUACCUGACGCUCAGGUGCGAAAGCCAGGGGAGCGAACGGG
Molecule: ribosomal RNA, 254 nt
Filed under: uncultured bacterium
Lineage: Bacteria
Description: partial 16S ribosomal RNA
Rfam family: Bacterial small subunit ribosomal RNA
Source: RNAcentral